Molecule: ribosomal RNA, 449 nt
Filed under: uncultured bacterium
Lineage: Bacteria
Description: partial 16S ribosomal RNA
Rfam family: Bacterial small subunit ribosomal RNA
Source: RNAcentral
AACGAACGCUGGCGGCAUGCCUAACACAUGCAAGUCGAACGAGAUCUUCGGGUCUAGUGGCGCACGGGUGCGUAACGCGUGGGAAUCUGCCCUUUGGUUCGGAAUAACAGUUGGAAACGACUGCUAAUACCGGAUGAUGACGAAAGUCCAAAGAUUUAUCGCCAGAGGAUGAGCCCGCGUAGGAUUAACUAGUUGGUGUGGUAAAGGCGCACCAAGGCGACGAUCCUUAGCUGGUCUGAGAGGAUGGUCAGCCACACUGGGACUGAGACACGGCCCAGACUCAUACGGGAGGGGGCAGUGGGGAAUAUUGGACAAUUGGCGAAAGCCUGAUCCAGCAAUGCCGCGUGAGUGAUGAAGGGCUUAGGGGUGUAAAGCUCUUUUACCCGGGAUGAUAAUGACAGUACCGGGAGAAUAAGCUCCGGCUAACUCCGUGCCAGCCGCCGCGGUAA